AUACGUAGGUGACAAGCGUUAUCCGGAAUUACUGGGCGUAAAGAGCUCGUAGGUGGUUUGUCGCGUAGUCUGUGAAAUUCCGGGGCUUAAAUCCGGGCGUGCAGGCGAUACGGGCAGAACUUGAGGACUGUAGGGGAGGCGGGACUUCCUGGUGUAGCGGUAAAUGGCGCAGAUAUUGGGAGGAACACCGGUGGCGAAGGGGGCUCUCUGGACUGCCACUGACGCUGAGGCGCGAAAGCUAGGGGAGCAAACGGGAUUAGAUACCCCGGUAGUCCUAGCCGUAAACGAUGGGCACUAGGUGUGGGAGGUAUCGACCCCUUCCGUGCCGCAGCUAACGCAUUAAGUGCCCCGCCUGGGGAGUACGGCCGCAAGGUUGAAACUCAAAGGAAUUGACGG
Molecule: ribosomal RNA, 396 nt
Filed under: uncultured bacterium
Lineage: Bacteria
Description: partial 16S ribosomal RNA
Rfam family: Bacterial small subunit ribosomal RNA
Source: RNAcentral